RNAcentral lists this long non-coding RNA (1248 nucleotides) under Piliocolobus tephrosceles (Ugandan red Colobus). RNAcentral describes it as "lncRNA (ENSPTEG00000022231.1)". Lineage: Eukaryota; Metazoa; Chordata; Mammalia; Primates; Cercopithecidae. The record is from RNAcentral.
AUGGAUAUAGCUCCAAAUAUGUCUAAUGAACAAAAAGAAAAAGAAAAAGGAGUAAAGAAUAAGGAAAAAUUAAUAAUAAAAGAUAUAGAAAAUACAAAUAAUAAUGGUAGUAAUAUGAAGGAGACAGAUAGUAUAUCUAAUAAUAACAAAAAUAAUGUUACUAGAAUAGACACAAGUGGUUCAAACAAUGUAAGUAGUUUGAACAAUAAGAACGAAACGAAUCAGAUUAUAACUAAUAAAAUGAAAUUAAAAAAGAGUAGUAAAAAUAGGAACAAUAUAUGUGAUAAUGUUAAUAUUAUUAAUUUAAAUAAAAGAAACGGUUAUAUGUGUGAUAGUAAGCUUAAUAAUAUAAUAGCAGAUAUUGCUAUUGUAGCAUAUGGUGAGAAUAAAACGACUGGUGGAGUUAUGGGGAAUAAUACAAGCAACAGACCUAAUCAUAUAAAAAACAAUAUACAUAAAGAAAAUUUGAAUGAUGAAAAUAAUAAACAAAAAUAUAAUAAUAAUAAUAAUAAUAAUAAUAAUAAUAAUAAUAAACAAAAAUGUAAUAAUAAUAAUAAUAUAGUAAGUAACAUAUUACAUAAUAAACCGAGCAACUUUUUGAAUAAGGGUCUAAGCACGAGUGUGAAUGAUACCAAAGAGUCAGCUACGAAAACUGCUGCGGAUACAAUUACAUGUGGACAAAAAAAAACGAGUUCAACUGAUUCUAAAAGUAGUAUUAAUGGUCAUUUGAUUAAUAACUCAAGCGACAGUAACAAUAACGGCAGUGGUAACAAUGACAGUGGUAAUAACGGCAGUAGUAAUAACGGCAGUGGUAACAAUGACAGUAGUAACAAUGACAGUGGUAACAAUAACAACAAUAGCAACAACGACAGUAAUGAUAAUGAGGAACAAAAAUAUUAUACCAAUUUAAUGAAUUUGAAAACUUUUUUAAAAAAACGAGCGAGUAGGUAUAAUAUUACAAUAGAUGAAAUUAAUGAAAAUAACGAAACUGAUAUUGUUUCUGGUAUAAAUUCUAAGAUGGAGGAUAAAAACAAAAAUUUACGUGAUGAUAUAAAGGAAACAAAUAGCACAAAGGAAAAAAAUGGUAUAAAGGAAAAAAAUGGUACAAUGGACAAUUUAAAUGACAACACAGUAGUUAAUAAUUCAAACCAUAAUAUAUUAAUGAAAAAUAAUCAUACGAAUAUUAACCAGAGGAAUAACCAACAAAUAAAAAAAAAAUUAUAUUGUUACAGAGAAAUAAGAACAUAA